GGAAAACCAACAGGACCCUAGAAUGACGUUUUGAAAGAAAAAGAAAUAAAUGAAAAAUAAAUUUUUAUAAAAUUAUGACAUUCUGGAGGUGAAGAGGUUAAAGUCAUGACAAAACCUGCUGAGAAUAUUUCUCUUCUCCCGCCAAAAAAUUUCUAAAGAAUUAAUUCAAUUGAGAAUGCUUACGAAUAUAUGAAAUGAUGAAAAGUCAGAUUUACCAUCUAUGUUCCAGAGUCUCAGGAUUUCAAAUCUUUCUAAGAAAAGCUCCAAGUCUAUUUUUACUCAGUUCUGGCCUGCCAGAAUUAAAGCAGAUAUUAAAUAAUGAAGAAAAUGAAGACCAGAGACAUGAAGGAAACAUAGACUUCUUCAUUGUGAAAAGUUGGCCAGAAGGAAAAAUAUCAUCAAAGCCAUGGAUCCAUUAAUGAUAUUGAUUAUACCUGAGCUCCAGGAAGACCUCUUUCCCCUGGGAAACCACGUAAUCCUGCUGGUCCAUCUUUCCCUGAGAUACCUUGAGGACCUGGAUCACCCUAAAGAAUAUAAUAAACAUCGUCAAGACAGAUUAAUUUCUACACAUCUUUCUACAAACAAAAUUGUGAUUACCUCUAAACUACUAAAAGAAAGAAAUCUGUGAAGGCUGAGAUAUUUUCAUGAAAGAUGUCUGAGAAAAUUUAUGAAUGGUGAGGAACUUCACCUGGACUCAUAGAAACAGAUACUUUGAAAAGGAGGAGAAGAUGGAAGGGCUUUCUAGGAGAGGAAACAGCUUGGGAAAGGAUUCAUUUCUUCUCAGUACAUAAAUUUCGGAGCUAUUGAUGACAGCACAAAAAACAAAACAAAGAAACAGCAACAAAAACUAGCUUGGAAGAGGAAGGUCAAUGCGAGGGUUGUUACGGUGAAAUCCCAGAGCCACCGUUUCGUUUUCCA
This 918-nucleotide long non-coding RNA is filed under the name Homo sapiens (human). RNAcentral's name for it is "HSALNT0011697". Lineage: Eukaryota; Metazoa; Chordata; Mammalia; Primates; Hominidae. The record is from RNAcentral.